RNAcentral lists this long non-coding RNA (326 nucleotides) under Equus asinus (donkey). RNAcentral describes it as "lncRNA (ENSEASG00005032792.1)". The record is from RNAcentral. Lineage: Eukaryota; Metazoa; Chordata; Mammalia; Perissodactyla; Equidae.
UGAAGGGUGCAGGAUCAAGAAAGCAGUGUUUUGUCUUCUUUACUUUUCUAUCUUUUCCUUUCUUUUCUUAACAACGGGAGAGAUCUGACCACUAUUUGCUAAGCUGGAAGGAAGGAGCCAGUGGAGCGAAGGCAGAGGCGGCAGCAGCAGGACUGUCAAAAACCUCCACUAACAGCCCGGUCUCCCAGGGACACUGAGCCCGUCGCUUCAGAGACCCAGACACUGACCCCUGCCUCUGCGAGAGCUGCUGCACGGCGGCUUUUAGCCUGUCUCCUGACAGAGGUCAGCUCUGAGGAAGAAGGGAGACCAAAAAGAUGGAAAUAAAG